GACGAACGCUGGCGGCGUGCCUAAUACAUGCAAGUAGAACGCUGAAGGAGGAGCUUGCUUCUCUGGAUGAGUUGCGAACGGGUGAGUAACGCGUAGGUAACCUGCCUGGUAGCGGGGGAUAACUAUUGGAAACGAUAGCUAAUACCGCAUAAGAGUGGAUGUUGCAUGACAUUUGCUUAAAAGGUGCACUUGCAUCACUACCAGAUGGACCUGCGUUGUAUUAGCUAGUUGGUGGGGUAAGGGCUCACCAAGGCGACGAUACAUAGCCGACCUGAGAGGGUGAUCGGCCACACUGGGACUGAGACACGGCCCAGACUCCUACGGGAGGCAGCAGUAGGGAAUCUUCGGCAAUGGACGGAAGUCUGACCGAGCAACGCCGCGUGAGUGAAGAAGGUUUUCGGAUCGUAAAGCUCUGUUGUAAGAGAAGAACGAGUGUGAGAGUGGAAAGUUCACGCUGUGACGGUAUCUUACCAGAAAGGGACGGCUAACUACGUGCCAGCAGCCGCGGUAAUACGUAGGUCCCGAGCGUUGUCCGGAUUUAUUGGGCGUAAAGCGAGCGCAGGCGGUUAGAUAAGUCUGAAGUUAAAGGCUGUGGCUUAACCAUAGUAGGCUUUGGAAACUGUUUAACUUGAGUGCAAGAGGGGAGAGUGGAAUUCCAUGUGUAGCGGUGAAAUGCGUAGAUAUAUGGAGGAACACCGGUGGCGAAAGCGGCUCUCUGGCUUGUAACUGACGCUGAGGCUCGAAAGCGUGGGGAGCAAACAGG
RNAcentral lists this ribosomal RNA (763 nucleotides) under uncultured Streptococcus sp. RNAcentral describes it as "bacterial SSU rRNA". It matches the Rfam family "Bacterial small subunit ribosomal RNA", at positions 28 to 776 of the family's 1533-position model. Lineage: Bacteria; Bacillati; Bacillota; Bacilli; Lactobacillales; Streptococcaceae. The record is from RNAcentral.